RNAcentral lists this ribosomal RNA (482 nucleotides) under Gessia sp. n. BFS-2018. RNAcentral's name for it is "partial 16S large subunit ribosomal RNA". The record is from RNAcentral. Lineage: Eukaryota; Metazoa; Arthropoda; Insecta; Hymenoptera; Ichneumonidae.
GAAAUAAUAAUUUAAAGUCAAAUCUGCUCCMUGAAAUUAUUUAAAUAGCUGCAGUAUCCUGACUGUACAAAGGUAGCAUAAUCAAUAGUUUUUUAAUUGAAAGCUGGAAUGAAGGAUUCGAUAAGGUAAAUAUUGUCUCAAAUUUAAUAAAAUUAUAAUUUUUUUUUUAGUAAAAAUACUAAAAUAAAUUUAAAAGACGAGAAGACCCUAUAGAUUUUUAUAAUUUUAUAUUUAAUUAAUUUAAAUAAAAAGUUGUAUUUAAGUAUAAAAUUAUUUGGUUGGGGAAAUUAUUAAAUUUGAUAAAUUUUAAUUUAUUUAGGACAAAAAUUAUUGGAUUUUUGAUUUAAAAUUUUUAAUUAUAAGAAUAAACUACCUUAGGGAUAACAGCGUAAUUUUUUUGGAGAGAUCAUAUUAAUAAGAAAGUUUGCGACCUCGAUGUUGAAUUAAGAUAAAAUUUUAAUGAARAUGUUAAAAAUUUUUGG